UACGGAGGGUGCGAGCGUUAUCCGGAUUCACUGGGUUUAAAGGGUGCGUAGGUGGGAAUGUAAGUCAGUGGUGAAAUCUCUGAGCUUAACUCAGAAACUGCCAUUGAUACUAUGUUUCUUGAAUUUUCUGGAGGUCAGCGGAAUAUGUCAUGUAGCGGUGAAAUGCUUAGAUAUGACAUAGAACACCAAUUGCGAAGGCAGCUGGCUACAGGGAUAUUGACACUGAGGCACGAAAGCGUGGGGAUCAAACCGG
RNAcentral lists this ribosomal RNA (253 nucleotides) under uncultured bacterium. Its description in RNAcentral is "partial 16S ribosomal RNA". It matches the Rfam family "Bacterial small subunit ribosomal RNA", at positions 524 to 776 of the family's 1533-position model. The record is from RNAcentral.